This 355-nucleotide ribosomal RNA is filed under the name uncultured Lactobacillus sp. Its description in RNAcentral is "bacterial SSU rRNA". It matches the Rfam family "Bacterial small subunit ribosomal RNA", at positions 189 to 524 of the family's 1533-position model. The record is from RNAcentral. Lineage: Bacteria; Bacillati; Bacillota; Bacilli; Lactobacillales; Lactobacillaceae.
CAUGAAAGAAGUUUAAAAAGGACGGCGUAAGCUGUCGCUAAAAGGGGAUGGACCUGCGAUGCAUUAGCUAGUUGGUAAGGUAACGGCUUACCAAGGCGAUGAUGCAUAGCCCGAGUUGAGAGACUGAUCGGCCACAUUGGGACUGAGACACGGCCCAAACUCCUACGGGAGGCAGCAGUAGGGAAUCUUCCACAAUGGACGAAAGUCUGAUGGAGCAACGCCGCGUGAGUGAAGAAGGUUUUCGGAUCGUAAAGCUCUGUUGUUGGUGAAGAAGGAUAGAGGUAGUAACUGGCCUUUAUUUGACGGUAAUCAACCAGAAAGUCACGGCUAACUACGUGCCAGCAGCCGCGAUAAU